CAGCAGCCGCGGUAAUACCGGCGGCCCGAGUGGCGGUCACUAUUAUUGGGGUUAAAGCGUCCGUAGCCGGGUUGGGGAGUCCUCCGGGAAAUCUGGCCGCUUAACGGUCCGAAUGCCGGAGGAUACUCCCAGCCUAGGGAGCGGGAGAGGCCGAGGGGAUUCCCGGGGUAGGGGUGAAAUCCUAUAAUCCCGGGAGGGCCACCUGUGGGGAAGGCGCUCGGCUGGAACGCGUCCGACGGUGAGGGACGAAGGCCAGGGGAGCAAACCGGAUUAGAUACCCGGGUAGUCCUGGCUGUAAACGAUGCGGACUUUGUGUCGGACAAGCUAUGAGCUUGUCCGGUGCCGGAGGGAAACCGUUAAGUCCGCCGCCUGGGGAGUACGGCCGCAAGGCUGAAAUUUAAAGGAAUUGGCGGG
Molecule: ribosomal RNA, 414 nt
Filed under: uncultured microorganism
Description: bacterial SSU rRNA
Rfam family: Archaeal small subunit ribosomal RNA
Source: RNAcentral